Molecule: long non-coding RNA, 217 nt
Organism: Mastomys coucha (southern multimammate mouse)
Lineage: Eukaryota; Metazoa; Chordata; Mammalia; Rodentia; Muridae
Exons: 2
Source: RefSeq, a predicted model, not a curated record
ACAAUAAAUAUACGCAGUAUGCUUUUCUGAGAUAUUGAAUCAGGGUCACAAUUGGAACAGGGAGGUGAAGUCAGGAGAUUUUUGUUAGAUGAUGGAAAUUCUGCACAUCAACAGUGGACUGAAGAAGUUCGAUUCUUAAGCGGGAGAGAUGGAACUGGAUCUGGAGAUCAAAUGGACGGGUACAUAUGCACAUGAACGCAGAUGCACACAGAGGGAA